RNAcentral lists this ribosomal RNA (484 nucleotides) under uncultured bacterium. RNAcentral's name for it is "partial 16S ribosomal RNA". It matches the Rfam family "Bacterial small subunit ribosomal RNA", at positions 30 to 507 of the family's 1533-position model. The record is from RNAcentral.
AUUGAACGCUGGCGGCAGGCCUAACACAUGCAAGUCGAGCGGAUGAAGGGAGCUUGCUCCUGGAUUCAGCGGCGGACGGGUGAGUAAUGCCUAGGAAUCUGCCUGGUAGUGGGGGAUAACGUCCGGAGACGGGCGCUAAUACCGCAUACGUCCUGAGUGAGAAAGUGGGGGAUCUUCGGACCUCACGCUAUCAGAUGAGCCUACGUCGGAUUAGCUAGUUGGUGGGGUAAAGGCCUACCAAGGCGACGCUCCGUAACUGGUCUGAGAGGAUGAUCAGUCACACUGGAACUGAGACACGGUCCAGACUCCUACGGGAGGCAGCAGUGGGGAAUAUUGGACAAAGGGCGAAAGCCUGAUCCAGCCAUGCCGCGUGUGUGAAGAAGGUCUUCGGAUUGUAAAGCACUUUAAGUUGGGAGGAAGGGCAGUAAGUUAAUACCUUGCUGUUUUGACGUUACCAACAGAAUAAGCACCGGCUAACUUCGUG